This 110-nucleotide small nucleolar RNA is filed under the name Arabis alpina (gray rockcress). RNAcentral's name for it is "Plant small nucleolar RNA R71". It matches the Rfam family "Plant small nucleolar RNA R71". Rfam says of the family: R71 is a member of the C/D box family of snoRNAs containing the C (UGAUGA) and D (CUGA) box motifs. Multiple nearly identical copies of this snoRNA have been identified in Arabidopsis, and it is thought to function as a 2'-O-ribose methylation guide for 18S ribosomal RNA. Lineage: Eukaryota; Viridiplantae; Streptophyta; Magnoliopsida; Brassicales; Brassicaceae. The record is from Rfam by way of RNAcentral.
AAAUCAUGGUUAAGACAAUCCCUAGUGUACUCCUUGAAACGUUCUAACGCUUUAAAGAAUGACUCCGUGGCUCUUUGCUUGAAACUUGAGAUUUUGUUCCUCAUGGAACU